Long non-coding RNA from Thalassophryne amazonica, 167 nucleotides. RefSeq lists it as uncharacterized. The record is from RefSeq and is a predicted model, not a curated record. The transcript is spliced from 3 exons. Lineage: Eukaryota; Metazoa; Chordata; Actinopteri; Batrachoidiformes; Batrachoididae.
UGGGUGUGAAAUUUCUGUUUGGGUGGUUGGUCUCAGAAGAUCUUUGAGGUGAACAUGCUGGAUGUGGAGGUCCUGGCCUGGUGUGGUUUCACUUGGUCUGCAGUUGUGAGGCUGGUUGGAUGUAUUGCCAAAUUCUCUGAAAAGCUUUUGGAGACAACUUAUGGUUG